Molecule: non-coding RNA, 3625 nt
Organism: Sus scrofa (pig)
Lineage: Eukaryota; Metazoa; Chordata; Mammalia; Artiodactyla; Suidae
Source: RefSeq, a predicted model, not a curated record
GUCACUUCUUCCAGGAAGGGUUGGUUCUUUCAAAGAAACUGUUGCAAACCUGAGGCGUCCUUCGGGAUUCCAAGAACACAUGUGGCAUCGCAGGCCCCCGGGGGCAGAGGCUGGAGAGAUCUUGGGGCAAUGAUGUGACCUGGUGUGUGUGACAGCCACCCACCAGGAAGGUUGGCCAGCUCUGGGUCUUCAAAGACCCUCUUCUCCACCCAGACACUUGUGUGCCGGGGCGCUCGUACAGCUAGCAUUGAUUCGGUGCACAGGGAUCCAGAACAGCCACUGCAUGGGGCAGUAGCAACGGACCACAAGCUCUAUAGGCCCAGGGAAGAACUCCAGCAAGGAUGGCACAGGAUGUGUGACUCUGGAAGGUUCUGGAGGGACUCAGAGCAGAGCCCAGAGAACAGAAGAGAGACGCCAACAAGACUCCAUGGGAAUGAAAAGGAUGCCCUAGAAGCAGUUAUCAAGCAGCAGCCCUCGGCCCAGGGGGCCACUGCUCACUGGACGUGUCAGGGCCAAACCCAGUCAAGUGGGCCGUGAGUGUGAACUACACACCCGAUUGCAAAGGCUCCGCCAGGGCAAAAUCUCUUAUGGAUCCUUUUUUUUCGGCUGCGCCCACAGCAUCUGGAAGUUCCCGGGCCAGUGAUCGAACCGGUGCCACAGAUGCAACCUGCGCCAAAUCCUUAACCUGCUGUGCCACGGGGGAACUUCCUCAUCGAUUAUUUUCAUAGUGAUUCCAGGUUGAAAUCGUUACGUUUCAAUAUAGCGGAUAAAUAAAAUAUAUUCUUGAAAUGAAUUUCGCAUCUUUCUUUUUACCUUUUAAGUUGCGGGUGUCAGAACAUUGAUUUGGGGGCGUGUGUUCCGUUUCUAGGGGGCAGCACUGGAGGGACAAAUACUGCAGAGGAAACUGUGUCAUCUCUGAUGAGGACAAGCGACAGUCCAAGGGCAGGCGGAGCCUCGGGGGCAGGCAGGACGGGAAGGAAGCAGAGGACCUUCCGAGGCCGGUUCCCGUGCAGACAGCUCUCGGGCACAAGCAAAGGGGAUACAGCCUGCUCCUUCCGCAGGUGAAGCCUCCUGUGAGGAUACCACCGUUACCUCAGGUGCAUAUGCUCUUCAGAAGAUUCUGGAGACUGUGCUUCUGAGGCGUGAAGUGGUAAACGGAAAAGACAAGGAAACCCAGACAGAGGAGCCACCGCCCCAGGCUGGGGUAUCUCAGGAGAGCCGUCAUCUGGGUUUCAAGAUCGAACCUGGACGUUUCCAAGCAGAAGGGUGCAGGGCUGGAGGGGUGGUCUCUACAUGGAGAAGACAGACAUCAGUGUGGUCUCUACAUGGAGAAGACAGACUUCAGUGACUUAGUGUGUCUGAGCGUUGUGGGGAAGUGUCAGGAGACGCUGGAAAGCAUUUGGAAAAACGUGGCAUACAUCCCUAGAUCACUGAGCAAUGGCAUGAGACAGGUGUCAUUCCAGAAACUAUUCAGAGUUGAACAAGAAAGGAAAUGCAAUCACAGCUUGCCACUCACACGAGCAGAGAACAGAGGAGGCCAAAAUAAAAAAGACUAUAUAAACAAAAAUCAUAAUAUCUAAGUUGGGGGGCUGUGGGGAGUUGAACUGGGGUAAUGAGAGCAGGCAACUCCUCAGGCGCCCUAACGGAAGUUGAUGAAAUGACCGGAAAUGAACAAAUCAAGAAAUAAGAGCGCGUGCACGUUAUUUAGAAACAGGCGCAGAAAUUCUACAAGAAUUAGGACAAGGAGGUUCUGCACCAGCUGAGCUUUCUGGUGCGCCGUGAAAUUGCACCAGAAUUUGAGUCUUUAUGGCAUGUUUCUCCUCAUACGAGAUCAAGAAGAACCCGUCUGGAUCUGAAAAUACACACAGAGACGACGAGGACACACAAGGGGACCUCUUUUCUUCCCGACGCUUUCGUCAACUCAAGAAAACUUGUUCGUCAAGGCAGCCGUUGCUCUACUGACUUGCAUCAUGCCUGCCCCCAGCCACAUUCUUCAGAGACAGCGUCUCGCAUCUGGGAUUUCACAAGCGACAGUGGGGGAGGUGGGUGGGAGCCGAGCGCGGUCCUUGCUCCUGCAUUCUCGGGAUGGAAUGAGACAGAGCCUGUUUGGCGCUGAAGACAGAGCUCUGGGUAUGUCUGUGCCCAUUUCGGUGGGGAAGUGGGGAAUGUUGGGGGGCUGCUCCUUGCCAGACUCGGGGGCAGAGGCGCAUCCACAGAGUGACGGCACGAGGCCAGGCUGGUCUCCUUCCCCCUCCUCCAGGAGCAUGGGACACAGGUGUCUCCUUCUGGGCAGAAGAAGUCACUGAAACUUGCCUUCUUACUCAGCACUGUUUUUUUCUCCUGGAGCGUCAAAAUCAUUGCUUAAUUUCUACUGUGGGCAAUGAAAGCCACGAUGUGAGCAAAACUUAGUGAAAAAUUAAUCCAGGGGGAGUACCUGCCUCUUUUUUACCUCCUCACCAUCAAAGCAGAGCUGGUUUGAAAACAACCCAAGCAAAUGUGACUUUGGGGGAGGGGCGCUUGGGGUCCGGGAGCCCAGCUGCUUGGCCCCUCUUGACAGAUAUCCUGUCCCCAAGCUUCAGGUCUCGGAUCUGAGUCCAAGGAGGAGAGAUGGGAAAGGGAACGCUCCUCCCCAUACAAAUGUGGGUUUUUCUGAGCCACGCUCAGCUCCGGCAGGUGCUGUGAAGGCAUCCCGCAGGACCCCCCACACGUGACCCACAUCCGCGGAGGAGAGCUUGUUCCUAGGAGGCCGCCCACACGCUGCUGUCCAGCAGACAUUGACAGAACACUGUAACUCACCUACAAGUAAAAAUAAUUGAAAGAAAGUGUGAUCGUGCCACAGGAAAGCCUACCUUGUCGUCUAGACUUCUUUGGCCCUUGACAGACACCUCCUAGAAGUUCUUUAUUUUUCUCUUGCUUUCUUAAAGCAAGAUUUUGAAGCAGCUCUCACGCAACCCAGCUUGGGUCUGCUCUGCGGUGCGUAGUAAAGCUAAUCUCCUGAUACAGGGCUGUGGUGCAGGGACGUGCAGCGGUUACGGUGGGCGUCCAGCAAGGCGUCCAGGUGGUAAUGCUCCCAAGGCCCCGACUCCCCAGCGGGUUCCAGGAGAGCAUGUUUGGAGGCCAGGUAAGGGAGGGGGUCCCAGGUGUGUGAACAGCUUGUGCACAGUUCUCUGGCUGGCUGAUGGCAAGGUAACACGCACUGUCACAGGGGUUUGUGUCAUCAGUCCUUAGGCUGCAGCAGGCCUGGGGGCUACAAGCUCCUGGGCAUCGAGCAGAUAACAGCCUCCACUGGGUGGGAGUUUUAGCAUCUGUAAAACAGCUCAGGAAGCUGCAUCAGAUACGGUUAUCUGGGCUUUAGAGAGGAGCUGAAGCAGAGGACACGGGGGGAGGGGGCUGGCCCAGGGAACGUCCCAGAAGGUCCUGCUCGGUGACACCAACAUCUGUUUCCAGAGAAACUUUGUCUUCCACCUUCUUCCCUGCCCCACAGGGAAAGUACUUUUCUAAUGUAGAUUUCUUGCCUAAAUAAGAGACUGAAGACUCAGUCACUGAAAUCAGGGUGUUCCAUGACUGCUGGGGCUCAUGGUACAUCUCAUCAAGAACCCAAAGAGUUGGUGCACAAAGACAGGCA